This 444-nucleotide small RNA is filed under the name Histoplasma capsulatum. RNAcentral describes it as "hypothetical RNA". RNAcentral also lists the same sequence under 1 other name. Lineage: Eukaryota; Fungi; Ascomycota; Eurotiomycetes; Onygenales; Ajellomycetaceae. The record is from RNAcentral.
GUGGGGGCAAAAGGGUUCUCGAACAUCCACCAGCGACUGGGUAGGUCGCAACCUUGGAAGCUACAGUGCUCCGAACGCUGCACAAAAUGCCAUCGAAGAUGAGACAAGCUAUUUCGAUGAUGAAUUAUGUCGAAGAAAAUGGGUGUUUGAAUCGGGUUUUUGAUGCCUUAAUUCGCUAGCAUAGCCGUCCGCCCACACCAGGCCACCAAAUGAUACGCAUCAUCACUACUGCCAAGUCAAAUCCAGUCAAAUCACCACCAAGAAAUAGUCGCCUCCUCGACGAAUAAUCCGUUUCAGCCCCAAUAAUAGUUCAUUUGUUAGAGUCCGUGACAAGUCGCAAAAUAAAUAAACCCCACAAAAUGUAACUGUAGUGUACCCAGCCAAUCCGCGCACUUGUCUUCGGGAGAAAAGGGAAGAGAAGGAAAAUAGAAAUAAGAAAGAGAG